CCCAUCAGCAACAAGAGCACAAGCCUGGCUGUGUGGAUGGUGUUUGCCUGACCACAUUACUGCCUCACCUGAUAGUAGCAUUCUUUAAUGUUAGGCCCUAUGUUUUUGAUAAUUGGAGGUUGAUAAUUUUUAAUGCAUAUCAAAGAGUAUAUGGAACAGAUAUAUAAAUUAUGAAGAAUGAAAUCAAACAUCUGGGAAUCCAUCUUCCAACUUAAGAUUGAUGACAUUGGCAAUGACGUUAACACUACCCACGUGUUCUGCCAGCUUCCCUCAGGUGCACAAAUGCAUUGUCAUGCUUUUCUCAAGAUAAUGAGGAAAGAUUUAUUUCACAAAAGACAGAACUGAAGCACAGAAGAGCUAAGUUGACCAAAGCUGGACAGAAAGGGGUAAAGUUGUGAAUUGAAUCCAGGCAUAUUUGAUGUUAUCUUAAUCCCUUCUAUAAGUAACAAAAAGUUUGUGAAGGCUUACUAUAGCACAAUGUGGAAAAUUGUUCAUCUCUUCUAUUUCUCU
Long non-coding RNA from Prionailurus viverrinus (fishing cat), 510 nucleotides. RefSeq lists it as uncharacterized. The record is from RefSeq and is a predicted model, not a curated record. NCBI's taxonomy places the organism in Eukaryota, Metazoa, Chordata, Mammalia, Carnivora, Felidae. The transcript has 3 exons.